UGUCUGGUAAUGUGGUUGACGAG
Molecule: non-coding RNA, 23 nt
Filed under: Arabidopsis thaliana (thale cress)
Lineage: Eukaryota; Viridiplantae; Streptophyta; Magnoliopsida; Brassicales; Brassicaceae
Source: RNAcentral